RNAcentral lists this ribosomal RNA (406 nucleotides) under uncultured bacterium. RNAcentral's name for it is "partial 16S ribosomal RNA". It matches the Rfam family "Bacterial small subunit ribosomal RNA", at positions 29 to 526 of the family's 1533-position model. The record is from RNAcentral.
AUUGAACGCUAGCGGCAGGCUUAACACAUGCAAGUCGAGCGAGCGGCGGACGGGUGAGUAAUGUCUGGGAAACUGCCUGAUGGAGGGGGAUAACUACUGGAAACGGUAGCUAAUACCGCAUACCAUCAGAUGUGCACAGAUGGGAUUAGCUAGGAGGUGGGGUAAUGCCUCAACUAGGCGACGAUCCCUAGCUGGUCUGAGUGGAUGACCAGCCAGAGUGGAACUGAGUCACGGGCCAGACUCCGACGGGAGGCAGGAGUGGGGAAUAGUGCACAGUGGGCGCAAGCCUGAUGCAGCCAGGCCGGGUGUGUGAAGAAGGCCUUCGGGUUGUAGAGCACGUUCAGCGAGGAGGCGUUACUCGCAGAAGAAGCACCGGCUAACUCCGUGCCAGCAGCCGCGGUAAUUC